GGCUGAGCAAACAGCAGGCUUCACCCCCCAGCCCAGGAACCCGGAGCCUCUCAGGCCCUGUGUCUAGGCAAUGAGCGCCUUCCUACUCCGGACCCCCAGCCCCGGCCACGACCCGCACCCAGCCGAGCCGCCUGGCUUCCUCCAGCCCAGCCUCCUGCCCUGAGAAAUGGAAGCCAAGGACACAGCUGUUCCAGGCACCCUUCCCAAAGCGACUCCGGUCGGUCAGCCGACUGAGAAGGUCCCACGUGCCAGGUUGGAUGGGGAGGGGCUGCAGAGAUGCACGUGGUGGCCCAUGUCCUGGUCGGAGGUGACUCUCACACUCUCUUAAGGGAGAGGCUUAGGAAUUUGGGGGUGUUAUUCCCGUCGAGUCUGUAGUGGACACCAAUGGUUUUCAACGUAUUUAUUUUUUCUUUUUCUGCCUCAGGUUACCUGAUGGGUAGGAUCCUCUCCCAGCGUAAUAGGGCGUCAAAAGGGCAAGACUGUGGGGCGUGGGGGUGGGGAGAUGAUCAGAAUCUCUGAGGGGGCAACUGGAGUUUGAUAAACGUCCCUCCCCAUGCCCCCAAGCCUGGGAAUCUGGUAGAGCUUCCUACGGGACAGGGCAUGGCUUCCACCAGGAGGAGCCACUGAAGGAUUUUGAGCAGGGGAGGAACAGAGAACAAUCUAUAAUGUAGCACCUCUCCCGCCCCGAAGUGGGAGGGUUGCUGGGGGACACUGAGGGAGGCGUCAAGGACCCCCUGCAGCCCCGGGGGGCAGUGAGGAGAGGGAAGGAAGCAGGUCAACAGAACCGAGUUCCGAUCCUGCCUCAGUUCCUCCUCCCUCCUCUGUAGGAAUCAGACUGCCGCCCUUCCUCUCACAGAUGUAAGCUUACCAACAUCGGUACGAGGCCGCCUUCGGGGUCAGUCAGCUGCCAUGUCACGAGGACACUCCAGCAGCCCCAGGGAGAAGCCCACGGAGCAAGGAACUGAGGCCUCCUGCCAACAGCCAGCACCAAUUUUUCAUUCGUGUGAGUGAGCCAGCAUGGAUGCAGAUGCUCCAGCCUCCGUCAAGCCUUCAGAUGAGCCUGCUGCUCAGCAUCAGUAUCUCUCGAGUGCUCGUCCAGCACUGGACAUCUGGACAUCUCCACCUGGCCCUUACCCUCGCCAGCUCUGCCCUCCUUUACCCCAAGCCUUCUGGAUUGCAGCAAGAUUUCUGUUCAGGUGUCACCUCCUCCAAGAAGUCCUCUUGAACACUCCAGAGCUAAUCACUCCGUCCUCGAUGCUGUUGCUGAACCUUCCACGCACCCGUUUGUAGAGUGGUUAUAAACAUGGUCCUGAAUCAAAAAUGGGCUCCCAGACCUGCCACUCACCACCGGUAGGAUCUUGGCAAAGCGGCACCUCACUGUCCACAUCUGUAAAAUGCAGACGAUUCCUACCUCAGCACUAGAGGGAGGGUCAAAUGAGACCGAGUCUGUGGACGCUGUGAAUUCCAUCCUGACUCGGGAUCCAUCUCAUAGACGGGCCCCUGGAGACCAGGCUGUAUGGGGAGCGAGGCCGGCACUGAGCAGAGGGGCUUGGGGAGGGAACUGACAUACCUGGAGCACCUGCCUGUGCCAGGCGCUGGGCUAGACUCUGUAUCUCUAUGACUUAACCUAAUCUUUGCAACAAGAGCUGAGCAUCCUCAGCCACCUUUUCACACAUUUAGAAAGUGAAGCUCAGGAAGUUCAUGGCUUGCCUAGUGUCACACCGGGGAUGGAGGCGGGAUCUGAACCCCUUGUCUGUUGAACUCCAAAGGCUUCCAGCUCUGGCACUGAGUCUGUGCAGACCCAGCUGGGAGGUCCUGGGCCCAGGACAGUUCUCCAGUCCUCAGGAGGGCAGCAAAGUGAGGGUUAGUCAGCCUGGCCCAUGGUGGACUAUCCCCUCCUUUGUAUUGGGUGAUAGACUUCUAGUAAUACAACCCAAGAAGACCAUGGCUUUGCGGUUUCCUCUUCCCAGUUGUGGAAUCAGUUCAAUCCUGCUUACCUCCAGGUCAAAACAGGACACCUUCCCCCACCCUGAGCCCACCCUGCACAUCAUACCUUGAAAUUAACUUGCAAUUGCUGUGAGCUCUGAUUCACCCCCAACCUCCAACUGGCGCCAACAUAAGGAUUGCAUGAGCCAACAGCUCAUGGCUCAUGGUGCUGGAUGAAGGGUGUGGAGCGGGGUGAGGGUGCUGUUCCCUUUCUGGGGGGUAAUUUCCUUUUGUUGCUCAGCUCAGCUCAGCAGCCACCCGCCUCCACCCUCCCUGGCUAAUUAGUCGCCUGAUUUCCAUCAGCCUGAUUAGGUCCAUUUGAGCCACCACCCCACCCUGAGCAGCAGGAAGUUGACUCCAGUUAAGAGAGGAAGCGGCUGACUUAGGGAAGUGGAGGGGGU
Molecule: long non-coding RNA, 2387 nt
Organism: Equus caballus (horse)
Lineage: Eukaryota; Metazoa; Chordata; Mammalia; Perissodactyla; Equidae
Source: Ensembl